GAUCGAGUGGCAAAAUAUCUCGCGAGCCCUGGGCGCCUUCAGUUUCCCUUUCUCUAUCCAAUCUCCAUCGACCUACUACAACCGCCGCCUCCUCCUCGAUCCAUGUGCUCACCCUUUGCCGCCGCCACCGGAGAGGCUUGCCUCCGCGGCCGCACGCCUUAGAUCCGACGGAAGGAAAAGGAGGAAGAGACCCGCACUGUCCUGUUCCUUGAGGUGGUGGAGGAGCAGCCGAGGGCGACGACGGCGUCCUUGGCCGAGCACACGGACGGAAGGGGGGAGAGGAGUGUAGACGCUCGUGGGGAUUGAGGGGAAGGAGAAAGGUGAUGAUGAUGCCGGCUACUUGGGGAAGGGGAUGCGGGUGACCUGGGGCGAGUCAAGCGACCUGAGGCGAGGCCGGUGGCGACCUAUGGAAGGAAUGGGACGCCGGCGACCUUGGGAAGGAAGGGGAGGCCGGCGAAUUGGGGUAGGGGAUGCGGGUGACCUGGGGAAUGGCGGCUGGGAGCUGCUCAGCCCGUCGUCGCUGUCGGCCGCCGGCGACCACCGCCCGUUGCUUGGAGGAUGAGGGGAAUGGAGAAAGAGGAGCAGUAUCGGGAAGGAGUUUUGGGCGAUGGGCAGCCGCGCCAGGCGACAUGCUCGCGGUGCCGCUUGGUGGCUGAGAUGAGGCUGCCGCAUGCUCUGUUCCGAUGGGCCUCCUCUGCUCGAUGGUUGCACUGGUUGAGUUUGGUACGGUUCCUGUUGUCGGCUGCGUCGAGCCUUGGGUCUUGUCUGUCCUUCGCGUUGAGAUAAAUAGCACGGACAACAUAUCAGUGCUCUAUCUGUGUCUAAGGGCUCCAAGAGAUGCAGUCAUAGACAGUGACUGGUCCCUGAAGUUUGGGACGUUAAGGAUAAAAUCAAGCAGUUUUCAGAAACUUUUAGUUGUGGCUCAUGGGUUGGAGCAACUGGGAAACCAUUGACAAAUGUGGUCUCAGUUGGAGUUGGUGGUAGCUUCCUUGGACCUCUGUUUGUGGAUGCAGCUCUCCAGAUUGGUUGGAGGCAUUGGUGUGAGGGUGUUGUGGUGACGUGCUCCUCCAUGCGUCGUGCGAGUUCUUGGUGUCGCGGUCAUGACUCCAGAGAGCAGCGCUUCAAGGUCACUUAAGCUUGAAUGGGUUAUCAAGUCUACUGGAAGCAUUCAUGUUUAGCCUUGUUCAUUGGUUUUAGAACAGACGCUCCCUUAAGUAUGUUUAAUCACAAUUAAAAGGAGGAAGCCAAAUUAUUGCAAUGUAAGUCCCUGAACUCGGAGGCUUGAUCCACUAUCACUUGCUCCCGCCACUGUGUCAUAAUAUCUCAUUUUCAUAUAUAAGAUGAUAGUAACUGAAUGAUCAUAUUAGGAGUGCGUUAUUGGCAGCCUUGUGAGGUUUUCUUCGUAACUUCUUCUCCUAUUUUUAAUGUUUGUAUUCUCUUUGUUGCAAGGUGUGGCUGCAGGUAAAGUUGUCAAGUUGAUCUGGUGCUUGCUUGAGCCAUUGAUUACUGUUGCUUUGCUAAGGUUCAAUGUCUUACUACAUGAGAAAUUUAUUCCAAUGCUUUCUCAAUCCCUUUACCAUGAUGACUACCAGAGGAACCUUCAAUGUGUAUAGAUGGUGAUGGAUAUGGGGACACACAAGAACUAGCGAACUUAAUACCAGAUGCCCUCAACUAUGAAUUCUUUAAUUAUUGGAGGCUUUCAUAUUCAUAUCAAUACAAGGUGGGAUAUGAUGCAGGCUUUAGAAUCACUAAGGUUGCUCUUGCUCUGUUCCUUUGGUCAAGGUGUCGUGUUUGUGUGUUUGUUUUUGUGGUGCUGCUUAUAUGUGUGACUACCGUGUGAUCGUAUAUAUAUGCUGAAAAGUAAAAUGAUUUUUUCUUGGCACGAUACAUAAUUUGUAAUGAGAUGGUAGUACAUCAGUGUAUUUACAGGAAAAAAUUAUAGAAGUCUAUUAAUAACCCAGGGUGAAGAAUAAGUAAUUCUUCACCCCGGUCGAGCGGCCGAGCCUGGUUCUUUCGAUCGCACGCGCGUUGUGCCUCCGGCCGUCCAUCGUUACCCCACACGCGAGCGGCAGGUGAGCGCCAUGGCUCGGUGGUCGACGUGGGGAGCGGCGGUUGACCCGGUGGGGGCGCGACGGCGUGCUGCUGGAUGGGUUUACUCGUCGGCAGCAAUAUGGAUGACCACGGCUGCAAGGUGAGCGGGGUCCGGCCUGGGUGUUGGGAAGCACGCGUGUGGUAGUCGGCUGGCCAUGGCGGCGGUUGAGUUGGUGGUCACGGCGGCACAGGUUAGAUUGUGCGUGCUCUCCUCCAGCCACGGCUGCUUGCCCAUGUACUCUUUGAUAACUUAUAUCCAGCCAAGCGCUUGCCUUGACGUCCUCACAGCUGGAGAUCCAUGACUAAGAGCUCUCCUCAAUGUAUGCAGGUCUCCAUUCAAGCGGAUGAUGACAAAUGUAUGAUGGAUAGAGAGGAAUAAGUUUUCUAGAAAACGUCUUCGUAUUUUAGUGUAUGGUUUUUUAGAGAGGAGGCGCUUGCCCGGCUUUAGCGAAAUGAAGCCCUUAAAGCGUUUACAACCAGAGUAGCGAAACGAGAAUAAAAAAGGGGUUUCAUAGGGCUAACACACAAGGCCGAACGAAAACGAAAAACUGAGCAUAACGGAGGAUCAGUCUCCAGGCAUAUUUUUUAGUGAAAUAAGGUGGGUACAAGUAAUUCUAGAUCCAAAUUUAGAGCUUUUGCUGUAAUCAGUAGCAAAAUUCAAGAUUGCCGAGAAGAGAGGUGAAACUAAAGGCUUCAACACUAUUGUUAGGAUACUAUGUUGCUUCCAAGCUAUGGAUAGGAAUAGUUCAGUCGCUUGAGAGAUUGUUGAACAUAUGAAAUUGAUGGAAAUCUCUGGGCACCCUCAAGUUAAGCUGCUUGAAAACCAAGUUCAAAUAUGUGUGAGGGUAGUGCAGUUGGGCAUGUGAUUCUAUUGCACAUGAUGUAAUCGGACCAUUAGAUCAGUUUUGAAAUAGUGAUCUUCGAACAAUUUUUUCUGUACUUGUGGGGAUAGUUUUCAUUACUUGAGACAUUUCCCAGAACCAUUACUAGUCUUGUACGUUGAAUCAAUUUAUUAUACGGCUUUGUUAUUCCUAGGGACAUGUUGAUUGUUUUUCCAUUACAUAGCAUUGUUUUACGGCCAUCGGGCUACCAUCUGUUCCUUGAGGCUGGUGAUUGUACCGUAUUCGUGAUGAUACGUAUGUCCCUUUUAUGUUCCGUUCUUUAGAUAUUAAUGUUGUCAUCUCAAUCAGAACUGAGCAUCGGUUAUGGGCUUUUGGAUUGUGAUCAUCCUGCUGUGCUGACAUACUUCCCAAGAAGAAACAAAGCUUUUGCCUCCAUUUUUUCGGACUUGUGCCUGUUUUGCCCUACAAAGAUAAGAACGGAUGGUCUUUUCAAGAUUAUUUUUAUUUAAGAUUAUUUCGUGAUUAUCUUUGUAGGGCAAAUCCCACUUUUGGAACACAUUUUAAGAUUUUGGAUCUGGCAUUUUCAAGAUUAUUUCGUACCAUAAAAAAAUCAUUUAAUUUGCUCAUCUAACAGUAAAGUUAACAAGGCUCAGGAAUCAUUUUGUGUGUGUGUGUGUGUUCUAAAGCAACAAGGUCAUCUGGACCUCGCCAGAAAAACGAGAUGAUCCCGUUUAUAACUGUCGUGCAAAACAUUUUAGAAGAAAAUGCAGACAGGAAUUACACCGUAGACCAAUUUAUAGCAACGUAGUCUUAUCGUACAAAAAACGUCAGGUGCGCUUCCAUACUCACAGUAAAAUUAUAGCAAGAACAUUUAUGUUUUAUAGGGCUUUUUUGAUGUGCCAUAGGGCUUCUCACGUGCAUGAUGUAAAUUAUUGUCAUGCAGAAGGUAAUAUUACGUGGCUCCUUUUUGGUUUAUGGAAUGGAGAACGGUUCCUUCUUUAGAUGUAAUCUUACCUCAAGUGCUUUUGUGUUCUCACGUUUUAAAGGUGUGGCUGUGGAAGAUAGCUGGGGUGAGGAAUAAUUAUUCCUUUCUUCUACUCUUUCUUGAUGUAUGCUGUCAUAUAUUGCUUCUCUACUUGCUCAAAAUCAAAUUUGCAUCUAUGAAAAGGUAAGAAAUUAAGGCCAGUGAGAUGGCAGUAGAUUGGCAUGUUUACAGGAAAAAACAAAUAGCCAUGCAAGUUUGAAAGAACAUCUUUUUACUAUUUCUUGCUAUAUGCAUAUUUCCCAUCUUCUUCCUUCAGAAUCAAAUGUGCGUCUACUAAAGGAUAAGCAAUUAAGGCUGCAAUCUAAGAAUAGAAUCAAAUGUGCAUCUACUAAAGGAUAAGAAAUUAAGGCUGCAAUCUAAGAAUACUUUUAUUUGCCAUUCUGAAUUUCUAUCACAGCACAGAGGAAUGAGGAAUGGAUACAUGAGGCAUGGCGUAAGCGUAGGGGUCAGCCAGGGCACGACGCAGGAGUCUGCCCAUCUCCUCUCAAAGGCCUCUCAUUCUUUAACCCUGACUAUAAAAAUCCAUUGAUGGAAGCUGGGGAGGGCCGAGAUGAACAUCCGGCUCCGUGGGUCUAAGCCAUCGAGAUGGUAGAGACGACGUUUCUAUGUCAUCUACUCCAACUGCCGGACAAGGCAUAUAAAAACCAUGGAUCCUUGCUCUCCAGGCCGCAAAAUGAUCACAGUGAUGUCUACGCCUCCUCCUAGAUGUAUUAAUCUCAAUCUCAAUCUCAUGUUUGGUUUUCUUCACUUUUCUCUUCUAAUGAUGUAAUUUCUUUUAC
Triticum dicoccoides is the source of this 4757-nucleotide long non-coding RNA. RefSeq lists it as uncharacterized. The transcript is spliced from 11 exons. The record is from RefSeq and is a predicted model, not a curated record. NCBI's taxonomy places the organism in Eukaryota, Viridiplantae, Streptophyta, Magnoliopsida, Poales, Poaceae.